RNAcentral lists this ribosomal RNA (234 nucleotides) under uncultured bacterium. Its description in RNAcentral is "partial 16S ribosomal RNA". It matches the Rfam family "Bacterial small subunit ribosomal RNA", at positions 1260 to 1500 of the family's 1533-position model. The record is from RNAcentral.
AGGUGGAGGCAAAUCCCUAAAAGACCAUCCCAGUUCGGAUUGCAGGCUGCAACCCGCCUGUAUGAAGUUGGAUUCGCUAGUAAUCGCGCAUCAGCCACGGCGCGGUGAAUACGUUCCCGGGCCUUGUACACACCGCCCGUCAAGCCAUGGAAGCCGGGAGUGCCUGAAGUGCGUGAGCGCAAGCAGCGCCCUAAGGUAAAACCGGUGACUGGGGCUAAGUCGUAACAAGGUAUC